CCCGUAAUAACUUUGAGUUUUAAUCUUGCGACCGUACUCCCCAGGCGGUCAACUUCACGCGUUAGCUACGUUACUAAGUCAAUGAAGACCCAACAACUAGUUGACAUCGUUUAGGGCGUGGACUACCAGGGUAUCUAAUCCUGUUUGCUCCCCACGCUUUCGUGCAUGAGCGUCAGUAUUGGCCCAGGGGGCUGCCUUCGCCAUCGGUAUUCCUCCACAUCUCUACGCAUUUCACUGCUACACGUGGAAUUCUACCCCCCUCUGCCAUACUCUAGCCCGCCAGUCACAAAUGCAGUUCCCAGGUUAAGCCCGGGGAUUUCACAUCUGUCUUAAAGAACCGCCUGCGCACGCUUUACGCCCAGUAAUUCCGAUUAACGCUCGCACCCUACGUAUUACCGCGGCUGCUGGCACA
Molecule: ribosomal RNA, 412 nt
Filed under: Caballeronia glathei
Lineage: Bacteria; Pseudomonadati; Pseudomonadota; Betaproteobacteria; Burkholderiales; Burkholderiaceae
Description: partial 16S ribosomal RNA
Source: RNAcentral